This 291-nucleotide ribosomal RNA is filed under the name uncultured microorganism. RNAcentral describes it as "partial 16S ribosomal RNA". It matches the Rfam family "Bacterial small subunit ribosomal RNA", at positions 505 to 796 of the family's 1533-position model. The record is from RNAcentral.
GUGCCAGCAGCCGCGGUAAUACGAAGGGGGCUAGCGUUGCUCGGAAUCACUGGGCGUAAAGGGCGCGUAGGCGGCUGAUUUAGUCGAGGGUGAAAGCCUGUGGCUCAACCACAGAAUUGCCUUCGAUACUGGUUGGCUUGAGACCGGAAGAGGACAGCGGAACUGCGAGUGUAGAGGUGAAAUUUCGUAGAUAUUCGCAAGACACCAGUGGCGAAGGAGGCUGUCUGGUUCCGGUCUGACGCUGAGGCGCGAAAGCGUGGGGAGCAAACAGGAUAGAUACCCUGGUAGUUC